GGAAGCUGAUUGGGAUUCUGGGGAGCUAAGCCAAGCCUUUGUCCCUCCUAAUCUGCCCACUCUGAGUGAGAGAUAGCAGUGCCAACCCUUAGAAAGGUGCCAGUUGUCUUCCUAAAUGCAUUCAGAUUUUCAGGCUGAAGGUGUGGGGAUAGGCCAGUCUCCAGUUCUCAGUUUAAUUUUGCUUCCAGGGGUGUUGUGACCUCCUGCCCACGGAGCUUUGCGGGGCUGUGCAGCUGCACAGGGCCGGGAUGUCAACACUGGCAUGCACAGCUGCCAGCAUUGCUCACAGGUCAAGCUCCCAAAGUUAUGAGACAGUCCAAGAGGGGGAGGGAGAAACCUAAAGCUUGGAAAAAGGCAGGGGGGAAGAAAUGUCUGAAGCUUAAGUGCUUGUGGCAGUUCCUAAACUAUGGCGAGAGGUGCUCCUGUCUCUGCAGUCCAGUUCCAAACCAGGGUUCAACCAAGAGCCAGGCUUCAUUCCCAACUCCACCCUCAGCUCCAGCAAGGCCAGACCAAUUCUCCCAGCACUUGACAAAGCAGAUCUAUCCCUGGGAAGAGUUUUUCCAGCAUGCUGGGACAAAAAUCUGGCAACGCCUCUGGACAGCUUUAGCGAUCAAAACACUCUGGGGCCUCUCGUUUGUUGGGGAGAAAAGAGAUGCAGGAGGAUGGAAGAGGCUGUGGAGGGAUCAGCUGCUGGGCCAUGUCAGGGAUCCAGUGCCUGUGGACCAGUCUAAAGCUUGGCUCCAUCAUUCAGGGCACAGGUGGAGCAGCCCUUUGCCUGAAUGGCAAGUGGUCUACAAUUUCCAACCCUGCUCUCCAGAUUGUUGGAUGUGAAACCAGAAUCAGCCCUGAAAUGUUGCUAAUUCCAGCAUAAAGCAAUCAAGAGUUAAUCUGCAAGUUCUCACUCAGGGAAAUUACCCUGUGCCAGCAGUGGGCUCCUGACUUGUGCACACAGGUGGAAAUGACUAACUCCUUCCAAAGGACGCUGGUGGAGAACAGCUUAUUUAUGUCUCUUGCACAGCUGGCCAGAGCCUGUGCAGGAAAUGCAGGUGAUUUAUCAGAGGCUGUUCACAGGCACGGAAGAUGGGCUUCCUGCACAGCCCAGGGGCUCUUCCUUUCUUUUAUUUCCUCUUCUUUUUCACUCUUCCCUGUUUAUGAGGGUUUCAAAAAUUCCUCUCCAAGGGUUCCAAUCAUGUUGCUGUAAAAUUACUGAUUCCUGUCAUAUUUAACAAAGUGCUCUGCCCCUUCCAAUGCAUUUUUUUCUCUGUGUUUCUUCACAUCUCUCCCAGUUCACAGCCUGCAUCCUUCAUCAGUCACAGCUUUGAGCUAAAUGCAGCAGAAAACCACAUGAACUAUGUGGUGAUGAAAUGAAUUCAGUACACACCAUAAAUCUCAAAGAAAGUCCUAAAAGCAUCACACAUCACCUACUGCACAUAUCCAUUGUCAGUAGGAUCCCACAAUCCUGAAUUUAAAGGUUUUCUUCUUG
Molecule: long non-coding RNA, 1483 nt
Organism: Passer domesticus (house sparrow)
Lineage: Eukaryota; Metazoa; Chordata; Aves; Passeriformes; Passeridae
Exons: 4
Source: RefSeq, a predicted model, not a curated record